This is a long non-coding RNA of Cicer arietinum (chickpea), 1453 nucleotides long. RefSeq lists it as uncharacterized. NCBI's taxonomy places the organism in Eukaryota, Viridiplantae, Streptophyta, Magnoliopsida, Fabales, Fabaceae. The record is from RefSeq and is a predicted model, not a curated record.
CACAUAAUAUAUGCCCCCACAUAUGAUUAUCAUAAAAAUGAAUUUUUAAGAAGAAAAAGAAAAGAUUUAUAACACAAGAAAGUAGUGAAGGAAGGUUCAGACAAUGAUAUUUAAUGAGAAAAUCUAUGGUACAAAAAAAAAAAGAUUCAUAGAAAAAAAAGAAGAUAAGGUGAUCUAAUGGGUAAAUGACCCAAUUUGUUAGUAGUUUUUCAUAAAAUAAGUGUGCUAAUAACUCAUGCCACAAUUUCAAUCAUGUUAUUAACCUACUUUGGAAGAUAUGAUUUGCUCCAAUCUAUAUUCACAAUCUUUCAGAAUAUGUUCAGCUUCGACUUUGAUGUGUGUAUGUAAGUUAUAUUCUUUGAUCAUCCUUUUUUUAGAUUCACAAACAAGUGAUCUUCUAUCAUUCUAUAUUCUUUUGUGGCCUUAAUUUUUGCUUAGAUUGCCCUUUCGGGUUUUCAACCUAACGGGCUUUUUUUCUUUCUUGUUUUGUACCCUAAUUUUUGCCUAGGUCGCCCUUUCAGAUUUUCAACCUAGCGGGUAUUUAUUAUUAUUAUUAUGAUUUUGCACCCUAAUUUUUGCCUAGGUCGCCCUUUCGGGUUUUCAACCUAGCGGGUCUUCAUUUAGAUGUAAUACUUUUUGAAGCAUCAAUGUGUGCAAGUAGUGAUAAGUCUUCUUGAUCCAUAUUGGUGUGGAUCAGAGCCAUACUUGAAUGUAUUUUUUAUGGUAUUGGGGGCUCAUAUAGUUGGGAGUUCAUUUAUCUUGCCAGUCCUUUUAGAUAUGUGAAAUAUUCUUGAAUGCUAAUUCUUUCUUUUGAAGCUCCGAAGUUCAUAUGUUCUUCUUUUAAGAUCUUUUUUCCUUGACAUGAGGCAGUCAACAUUUGUCUUGAAUUGAAUUCAAUCGGUCAACACAGUUCGUUACUCUUGAUAAGGGGGUUUUAGUUCGAGUGGGUCGCACUGCCUUUAUUCUAUAUAAUAAGAAACAAAGGGGUGCCCCAAUUAUAGGUUGAUACUCAUGAAGGGUAUUCUACAGUUACGAGGCGGCUAGAAUAUCCAGGGCACAAACUUCAAAUUCCCAACGUGAUUGAAUAUUCAAAACAUAUUUAGACUAUGAUUAAGAUAAAACAACUUGUCUAAGGGGAUUAACGUGACGUUAAUUUCAUGCCCCAACAUAUCAGAGUCCAUCCAGAUAGUGGAUUUAUUUAUAUCGUUCUCACAUUCAGUGUAAUUUAUAGCAUGAUUGAAAUUAUGUAUGAGAUUUUAGCAAACUUAUUUAUGAAUGGAAUACUUCCAAAUAUGUUUGGUAUAUGGUUUAAAGAAGAGAAAGAAGAAUAAUGUUUGGUAAGAGAUUGUGAAAUAUAAAAUGGGUGAGGAUGGAAAAGAAAAAAAUACAAAAUGCAUUUAUUGAAAUUCAAAAUAUUGAGGCACAUCAAUAUGAUCAAUGUUUUAGGAUCAAA